RNAcentral lists this ribosomal RNA (252 nucleotides) under uncultured bacterium. Its description in RNAcentral is "partial 16S ribosomal RNA". It matches the Rfam family "Bacterial small subunit ribosomal RNA", at positions 1250 to 1500 of the family's 1533-position model. The record is from RNAcentral.
CGAAGCCGCGAGGUGAAGCAAAACCCAAAAAAAGUAAGUCCCAGUUCGGAUUGAAGGCUGAAAUUCGCCUUCAUGAAGCCGGAAUUGCUAGUAAUGGCAGGUCAGCAUACUGCCGUGAAUACGUUCCCGGGCCUUGUACACACCGCCCGUCACACCAUGAGAGUUGGGAAUACCCGAAGCCUGUGAGCUAACUUUAAGAGGCAGCAGUCGAAGGUAGAAUCAAUGAUUGGGGUGAAGUCGUAACAAGGUAAC